Molecule: ribosomal RNA, 250 nt
Filed under: uncultured bacterium
Lineage: Bacteria
Description: partial 16S ribosomal RNA
Rfam family: Bacterial small subunit ribosomal RNA
Source: RNAcentral
GACAUAGGAUGCAAGCGUUAUCCGGAAUGAUUGGGCGUAAAGCGUCUGUAGGUGGCUUUUUAAGUCCGCCGUCAAAUCCCAGGGAUCAACCCUGGACAGGCGAUGGAAACUACCAAGCUGGAGUACGGUAGAGGCACAGGGAAUUUCCGGUGGAGCGGUAAAAUGCGUAGAGAUCGGAAAGAACACCAAUGGUGAAAGCACUCUACUGGGCCGACACUGACACUGAGAGACGAAAGCUAGGGGAGCGAAU